ACGAACGCUGGCGGCAUGCCUAACACAUGCCAGUCGAACGCACCCUUCGGGGUUAGUGGCGCACGGGUGCGUAACGCGUGGGAAUCUGCCCUUUGCUUCGGAAUAACUCAGGGAAACUUGUGCUAAUACCGGAUGAUGUCUUCGGACCAAAGAUUUAUCGGCAAGGGAUGAGCCCGCGUAGGAUUAGGUAGUUGGUGGGGUAAAGGCCUACCAAGCCGACGAUCCUUAGCUGGUCUGAGAGGAUGAUCAGCCACACUGGGACUGAGACACGGCCCAGACUACUACGGGAGGCAGGAGUGGGGAAUAUUGGAAAAUGGGCGCAAGCCUGAUACAGCAAUGCCGCGUGAGUGAUGAAGGCCCUCGGGUCGUAAAGCUCUUUUACCAGGGAUGAUAAUGACAGUACCUGGAGAAUAAGCACCGGCUAACUCCGUG
Molecule: ribosomal RNA, 432 nt
Filed under: uncultured bacterium
Lineage: Bacteria
Description: partial 16S ribosomal RNA
Rfam family: Bacterial small subunit ribosomal RNA
Source: RNAcentral